ACUCUAUUCCUAAAAGUCCUAGAUUGCACUCAUAGCCUGGGUAUUGGGCCUUUUACCUCGAGUAACUCCCACCCCAAACAGAGAAACACAGCCAGCACAGCAGAUAAAAUGAAUGAAUGCAAACAUUAAUGCACACAUUGAAAGCAAACAGUAAACGACAUGAAUGCAAUAAAUAAAGCAGCAUAUAACAACCAAAGCCCUAACCUAGAGAGCG
This 214-nucleotide long non-coding RNA is filed under the name Lathyrus oleraceus (garden pea). RNAcentral's name for it is "Pisum sativum (pea) long non-coding RNA (PSAT_LNC004791)". The record is from RNAcentral. Lineage: Eukaryota; Viridiplantae; Streptophyta; Magnoliopsida; Fabales; Fabaceae.